UACGGGGGGGGCAAGCGUUGUUCGGAAUUACUGGGCGUAAAGCGCACGUAGGCGGCUUUGUAAGUUAGAGGUGAAAGCCCGGGGCUCAACUCCGGAAUUGCCUUUAAGACUGCAUCGCUCGAAUUGUGGAGAGGUAAGUGGAAUUCCGAGUGUAGAGGUGAAAUUCGUAGAUAUUCGGAAAAACACCAGUGGCGAAGGCGACUUACUGGACACAUAUUGACGCUGAGGUGCGAAAGCGUGGGGAGCAAACAGG
RNAcentral lists this ribosomal RNA (253 nucleotides) under uncultured bacterium. RNAcentral's name for it is "partial 16S ribosomal RNA". It matches the Rfam family "Bacterial small subunit ribosomal RNA", at positions 524 to 776 of the family's 1533-position model. The record is from RNAcentral.